Molecule: long non-coding RNA, 1066 nt
Filed under: Cottoperca gobio
Lineage: Eukaryota; Metazoa; Chordata; Actinopteri; Perciformes; Bovichtidae
Description: lncRNA (ENSCGOG00000013422.1)
Source: RNAcentral
GGCAUUAUCAUAUGUACUUUUCCCGACAACAUUAUGUUAUGAGAUUUAAAAUAUAUACUUUGUGUCUUUACAAGAGCAAAAUGGAGUGAGUUUUAGCUAUAAUUGUGUUUUGUCUUGCCCCCCCCCUUGGCUAUGCACUGAAGGACUAGGAGGCACAGGAGGACAAUUAGGGACAGGAGGACAAUUAGGGAGUGGAGGAUUGGGAGGAGGUGGAGGAUACUCUGCUGCUGCCAAAGCUGCUAAAUAUGGAGUUUCAACAGGAGCUGGAGCAGGGUUUGUACCAGGAGGACUGGGAGGAGCAGGAGGAGUUCCUGGUGCAGUACCUGGACUGGGAGGUGGACAAUACUCGGCUGCCGCAAAAGCUGCUAAAUACGGUAUAAUAAAUAAGCACACAUGCACAAAUAUCACUCAUUCACAGACAUGCGUAAUAGCGUAUAAACUAAAUCUGAUAGGAACUGUACAAUAUUUAAUAAUUACAAAUCAAUUUUCUCAAUUAUGUUAUCUUAUUCUACUAAACUAAAUUAAUCAUGCAACCUGCUCCAUUCUCCUUGAUUAGGAGUUUUAGGAGGAGCUGGAGCAGGGUUCGGAGCAGGAGGAGUUCCUGGUGCAGUACCUGGACUGGGAGGGGGACAAUACUCUGCUGCCGCAAAAGCUGCUAAAUAUGGUAAGAGUAGAAAUACUACACACUCAGAUGCAUUUUCUUGUGAAUAAACUAAUUCUUAUAGGAAGGGUACAAUUUUCAAAUUGAAUUAGGAGUUGCAGGAGGAGUUGGAGCAGGGUUUGUACCAGGAGGACUGGGAGGAGCAGGAGCAGGGUUUGUACCAGGAGGACUGGGAGGAGCAGGAGCAGGAUUUGUACCAGGAGGACUGGGAGGAGCAGGAGCAGGGUUUGUACCAGGAGGACUCGGAGGAGGAGGAGCAGUUCCUGGUGCAGUACCUGGAAUGGGAGGGGGACAAUACUCUGCUGCCGCAAAAGCUGCUAAAUACGGUAUAAUAAAUAAGCACACAUGCACAAAUAUCAUACAUUGAGUUUAACUUGUUUGACUUUAUUCUAAUAGGAACCGUUA